CGCGUGGAUAACCUGCCUCACACUGGGGGAUAACAGUUAGAAAUGACUGCUAAUACCGCAUAAGCGCACAGCACCGCAUGGUACAGUGUGAAAAACUCCGGUGGUGUGAGAUGGAUCCGCGUCUGAUUAGCCAGUUGGCGGGGUAACGGCCCACCAAAGCGACGAUCAGUAGCCGACCUGAGAGGGUGACCGGCCACAUUGGGACUGAGACACGGCCCAG
RNAcentral lists this ribosomal RNA (220 nucleotides) under uncultured bacterium. RNAcentral describes it as "partial 16S ribosomal RNA". It matches the Rfam family "Bacterial small subunit ribosomal RNA", at positions 114 to 334 of the family's 1533-position model. The record is from RNAcentral.